CAUCCGGAGCGCUGCCGCCCCCGCGCGGGCAUCGCGCCGUGCUGCUGCGCGUCCGUCCAUUGGCGCAACUUCCGGAGUCCGUAGCGGAGUGCAGAAAGCCGUGUAGAAACACGGAAAAGGACAGGAAUGGUUCUUUACUUCACACCUGGCGUUACUUUCUGCUGCUGCCUCUUCUGGCCGUGCAGGUGCUCUUCGGAGCAUCGCCGUGUGGGGCAGAGCUGUGCGAGCUGCAGCUCUGUGACGGGGUGCUGCUGCAAAGCCCUGCUUUCUUGGCACGUUCGUGUUAAGCUUCUCCAUCCUUUAAGAAAAAGAAGUACUUGGACGAUUGUUGGCUGUGGUCUUUAAUAGGAUUUGCAGCUGUAAAUGUGCUUUCAUAGAAUUUGCAUCUGGGCCUCUUAAAAUAACGUUGGAGCUUUGUGAUUCGGGAUAGUGUGCCUCCCACUCACCGUUCUGUAGCUGUGAGUGCUGUGGAGCAAGAGGAGAACAUGAGCAGAACCAAAACUUUAAUACGUGGUAAAAGAGGAAGAAGCAGAAUUGUGUGAUUCAGGGCUGGGACUGUAAGUGAAUGCAUUUGGGUGCUGCUUUUUGCUUUGCUGUUGCCUUGGUUUCUGCUCUCGCAUGCAGCUUUCAACCUGUCUGAUUUUUCUCUGUCAGUAAACCGGCAAUAAGAAAACCUCUGAGAAUUGUUAGGUCAGUAGAUGAGGUGAGAAUUUCAGGGAUCUUCGUGCACUGUCACAGGCUGGAUUAGAAAGGUGGGAAGUGGUGCAGGAUGUGGUGCUGGUGCCCAGAGAGAGCUGUGGGUCUUCGGUUUGUCAGACUGAAAAGCCAUUGGUGGCUGGGGGACUAACGAAGAAAUGUGUUAUCUUAAAAAGCUGCAGAGCAGAUACUGCCUGCCUGCAUGGCUCCAGGCCAGCAGUUUUCAUAGCUGGUAGCAGAAUGUCAAUCCAGAAUACACAGAAAAGAAAGCAGUGUGACUCUGCAAAGUGCUUUAAAUCUCACAGGUAAGGAUUUGAGGGAAGAGAUGGAAGAGAGCCACCGUAGCACGUGUGGUUUGCUCAGCAGGCAGAUGCCCUCCUUCUGGAGAGCAGGAGCCCUGCCAAAGCAGGGAAGGGUGCAGGUGGAGAGAGCAGUGUCAAGUCCCAGACAAGUGUCAUGUCCCAGAGGUGCUAUAUGUGAUGAGGGAAGCCAGUGUGUCUGAGCAACAUUAGCUUUGUCCCGGAAGAACCUGCAGGGCUGCGCUGUGCAGGCGGGGCAGCCCUCAGUAGUGCAUUUUUUUUGCUUCUUAGGAGCUGGGCAGAGAGCAGAUGAGAGCAAAAGGCACCUGGCAGUGCUUGGCCAAGCACAGCCCAUUGGCAAAGGGCUUACACAGAUGUUAUGGUCAGAUUCCACAUUUUAGCUGCGUCUCUAAUCCAAAAAAGGUUUAAGUGUAAUUGAAUGCAUUGGAACUUGAAUGUGCGUGUAGUUGCUUGGCUGAGUCGUGGCUGGAGCCAGUGAUGUUUCUGCUGAGACAGCCAGUAAAGAGGGCAGUGUGGCUCUGCUGCAGGUAUUUACAUUGGCCUAGUCAGAAAUGGACUGGAGAAUGUGUUGCAGCCUCUCCUCCGCUGUAUCCUAACCAAGGUUGAGAAGUCAGAGAUGUUUUUCUUUUUUAAUAGGAACAGUAUCAAAGAUUUUUUCUGUAACAUCUCUGUGUCCCCUGGUUCCUUGAUCUCUUUCAUAUGUGACUUUCUUGUUCAUAGAGAUUUGCAGCCCUCUGAACUUCCUGGUAGCAAGUAAAGAUGUAUAAUGUAUAAAACAUGUCUGAAUCCAGAAAUAUCUCUUGGUGUCUCUGCUCUCUGUUGAUCAAUUCAGGUUUCCAAAACCAGAGGGUGAAUUUCCCCAGCAUCAGUGACCAAGGCAGCUUUCAAGCUUGGGAUGGAGCUGGCGAGCACACAGGAUCCUUAUUUGCGAGUGGUUGUGCACACUGCAGUGUGCUGCAGAGCCCUGACACUUCUGCUACAGGCUGUGUUUGACCUGCUGAUCCCAGAUCACACAGCAGAUGCCUUCUCCCCGCCUCGUCUGCCCGAGCCUGGCGAGUACGACCUGCUGCUGGAGCGGCUGCUGGGGGGCCUGGCACACUGGGACGCAGAGCAUUUCCUCUUCAUCGCAGAGUGGGGUUACCUGUAUGAGCACAACUGCGCCUUCUUCCCGCUUUACCCUCUCAGCUUGCGAGCUGUGGCUGACAGUGCUCUGUGGCCCCUGCGGCAGCUGCUGUGUUUGUGGAGCCGCCUGUUGCUGUCAGCCGUCCUCCUUAAUUCUGUCUUUUCUGUGCUGGCAGCCGCUGCCCUGUACAAGCUGGGCUGUGCCGUGCUGCGGUGCCGCAGGACAGCCUUCCUCGCUGCCCUUCUCUUUUGUAUCAGCCCUGCCAACGUGUUCAUGGCGGCUGCUUACUCGGAGAGCAUGUUUGCCUUCCUGGCCUUCAGUGCCAUGUGGCAACUGGAGAAGGGGCAGAGCUGGCUCAGCAUGCUGCUCUUCUCCCUUGCCACUGGCGUGCGUGCCAAUGGGCUUGUGAAUGCUGGUUUCUUUCUCUACUCCCGCAGUAAAUCCUUUGCCCUCCAGCUCCAGGUGGGUUCAGGCUCAGUAAGGAGGCUCGCUCUCUUAUGGAGGCAGCUCCUCAGUGUGGCAUUUUCCAUACUUACGACAUGUGCUGGGAUUUGUCUACCUUUUGCUUUAUUUCAGUAUUAUGCCUACAUGAGGUUCUGCAGCCCUGGCCUGGAGCUGGCUGUUCCUGAGCCGCUGCGGCAGCUGGCUUUGGACAAAGGCUAUCGUCUGGUGUCCCCCCAUGGGGUUAAGCCCCCUUGGUGCUCCCAGCGGUUCCCUGUGGUCUAUUCUUAUAUUCAAGAUGUUUAUUGGAAUGUGGGCUUUCUGAGGUAUUUUGAGCUCAGACAAGUACCAAAUUUUUUGCUUGCUUUGCCUGUCUCGCUUUUGAGCUCGUGGGCUGCCUGGACCUUCAUUAUUGCAAACCCGCGGCACUGCCUGACCCUGGGACUAGAGAGAAGAAAGAAGAAACGAGAGGGUAAACCCAGAGCUGGGUUUUGCUGCCCUGCUGUCUUCGUGUACGUGGUCCAUGCUACAGCCCUGCUGGUGCUGGGGUUCUUCUGCAUGCAUGUUCAGGAUUCGUGCUGGCAAUCCAGUGCCACCUCAAGCACCCGGUGUGCAGUGGGAAGCAUCCUGCAUCCUUCCAUCAACCAGUCAGGCAUUGUGAGAUCCAGGAGGUUAUCCCAGGCAGCCAAACUACAAUGCUCUGUCCAAUGCCAACUACCCCAGUCCCGGGAUGGGAGGAAGCAUGAACCCAAUGGCAGCAGGGAGCCAGAUGCAUGGGCAGACCGGUGUGCCUCCAUACAGUGGGCUUCCUCCCGGGAGGAUGAGCCACGCAGCCAUGGGGAACAGACCUUAUGGACCUAACAUGGCAAAUAUGCCUCCUCAGGUGGGGACAGGGAUGUGUCCCCCACCAGGGAGCAUGAAUCGCAAAGCACAAGAAGCGGCUGCUGCCGCCAUGCACGCUGCUGCCAACUCCAUCCAGAACAGGCCUCCUGGUUAUCCCAACAUGAACCAAGGAGGAAUGAUGGGUACUGGACCUCCUUAUGGACAGGGAAUUAACAGCAUGGCUGGCAUGAUCAACCCCCAGGGCCCACCUUAUCCCAUGGGUGGAAAUAUGGCUAACAACUCUGCAGGGAUGGCAGCAAGUCCUGAAAUGAUGGGUCUUGCGGAUGUCAAAUUAACUCCUGCAACUAAAAUGAACAAUAAGGCUGAUGGGACCCCAAAAGCAGAAUCCAAGUCAAAGCAGAGAGCUGUACUGGCACUUCUGAUCCAGCCCUAUCAAGUUCGCUUCUCAAAAACUCUACGCUUUCUAAUUGAAAUGGAAAUGAUCACUCUUCCAUUCAGAAUAAAAAGAUGAAUAUUUUAAAUAAAAGCCACACUGAGAAAAACAUACAGUUCCAUGCAGGAUCACCAGCUAUCUCUGAGAAAGCUUUGCUUUAAAGGAUCAGUCUUUCACUUGCAAGUCUUCUGCUUGAAUUGCAUUUCAGCAAGCAUUGGUGAGCCAAAAUUGAACUAUCUUUUGCAAAGAUGUGAGGAAGAAUUGAGAGCAUGCAGGCUGCGUGUGAAACUACAGAAAGUCAUCACAUUCAACAUGUGUCAGACCUCCCUGCCUUGAGUUCUGCCGCCUGAGUUCACACUCUCUGAGGACAGAACUGCCUCUGCCUGCAGCCCUGGGAUGUGACUGAACUGCAGUCUCAGAAGUGUUUUGUUUCACAUUGCUUGCUCUACUGAGAAAGGUUUGGGCAUUAACAGCUGCAAGGAAAAAAAGGUUUGAAAACUGAAACCAACUGUAGCCUGCAGCAAGAAGUCUGGCCUCCAUCUGCAGGGAUUUGACAAGAGGCAGGAGUGCAGCAGAGAGGAGUGUGGGCAGUUCCCCCAGCUGUUGGCAGAUUCUCUUUUGGUCCCAGGAGAAGCACUGGGAGAUGUCCUGUGUGUGUCUGCAGCGCUCUGUGCCUGAAGGGUGUCCCCAUGCAAUGGGGUUGUUCCUUCUCCAAGCCUGCUGCACUCGGGCUCACAACAUGAAGCAAUGUUAAGGACACAAGCUGGAUUCCUCUUGAAUGAAACAGAGCCAGAAAAUGUUCUCCAGAAUCACACCUCAAGCAUUCUGGCUGUAAAUUGAUGUUCAGAUAGAAACCACUUAAGAGUCAUACAACCACACAACGAUUUGUGUUUGAAGGGACCUUAAAGGCCACCCGGUUCCAAGACCCUGUUGCAGGCAGGAUUGUCAUGACCAGCUCAGGCCGCCCAGGGCCCCAUCCUAGAACACCUCCAGGGAUGGGACAUCCACGGCUUCUCUAGGCAGCCUGUGCCAUGCUUCACCACCCUCUGAAUAAAGAAUUUCCUUCUGAAAUCUAAUACUUAGAGCAGCCCAGUCCUGAGCACCAGUGGACUGUGCAGCAGCCUGGGAAGUUUCAUACCCCAAAAGAACAUGCGCUCCACAGACAUAGGUCCCCUUCACUGUCUGUUUAGCCAGUCCAGUACUAGAACAAACUAAGUUGCUACUGAAAUGCAUAUACAGGGUGAACACCAGGCCCUCAGCACCAAGGGUUUUGUUCUACAGUCUGGCUCCUACUUGUCAACAUUUGCUCAUGUGAGCUCAACCUGUGAUGCCAUCAGCACCCCCAGCUGGCAGGUGCCAAUUCCUUCUCUGUCCCUAGCUUCUCCAUGGCCAGGAAACAAGCAUAACAGAUAGAGGGAACUGAGCUCUGCAGAUCAGAGCAACCCAGAGUGAGAUAAAUCAAAUUCCAGCAAAUGAGACAAACCAGGAUCACAUGAAAUAGACACUUAUCACACAGCUCACGCUACCAGCAUACUCCAGCUACACUGGAGCAGGAAACAACCAUGAAAUGACAUCUAUUACAACUCACUUCAUCAAGUUUUAAUCACAUUUGUGAUUGAUAUUCCUACAGAAUUACUAUUUGGGUGUGUAAAGCAUAAACACUUUCCUGAAAGUCCCUGACGUGGUCAUCUUACCCACAACAGUCACAGUAACCUCCUUGGUACAUUCAAGGAAUUCAGUGAGCCUGAUAUUAAAUGUUCACUAAAGAAGUAAGGUUCUGUUCCUUGUAGUUGUAUUUCCGAGAUCUCUCCAUGCACCAGUCACCUUGCUGGUCAAAUACAAAUCCAACUCCUUCUGAUCUUCAUCAAUCAAUCUCCUCAGACAUUUAUUCACUCUGUCAUCCCUCUCCCAAACUCCUUCUAUUGUGGCAACAGCUUUUUGAGUUUAAAGCACCCUAAUUAAACACUUUCUCACCACUGCCAGAUUAAUGGUUCA
Meleagris gallopavo (turkey) is the source of this 5851-nucleotide non-coding RNA. NCBI's taxonomy places the organism in Eukaryota, Metazoa, Chordata, Aves, Galliformes, Phasianidae. The record is from RefSeq and is a predicted model, not a curated record.